GCUGAGUGCGGUGGCGCACGCUUGUAAUCCCAGCACUCUGGAAGCCGAGGCAGAAGGAUUGUGAGUUCAAAGCCAGCCUCAGCAAAAGUGAGGUGCUAAGCAACUCAGUGAGACCCUGUCUCUA
This 124-nucleotide small RNA is filed under the name Marmota monax (woodchuck). The record is from RNAcentral. Lineage: Eukaryota; Metazoa; Chordata; Mammalia; Rodentia; Sciuridae.